AUUGAACGCUGGCGGCAGGCCUAACACAUGCAAGUCGAGCGGGGUUUUCGGACCUAGCGGCGGACGGGUGAGUAAUGCCUAGGAAUCUGCCUAGUGGUGGGGGAUAACGUUCGGAAACGGACGCUAAUACCGCAUACGUCCUACGGGAGAAAGCGGGGGAUCUUCGGACCUCGCGCCAUUAGAUGAGCCUAGGUCGGAUUAGCUAGUUGGUGAGGUAAUGGCUCACCAAGGCGACGAUCCGUAACUGGUCUGAGAGGAUGAUCAGUCACACUGGAACUGAGACACGGUCCAGACUCCUACGGGAGGCAGCAGUGGGGAAUAUUGGACAAUGGGCGAAAGCCUGAUCCAGCCAUGCCGCGUGUGUGAAGAAGGUCUUCGGAUUGUAAGCACUUUAAGUUGGGAGGAAGGGCGAGUAAGUUAAUACCUUGCUGUUUUGACGUUACCAACAGAAUAAGCACCGGCUAACUUCGUGCCAGCAGCCGCGGU
Molecule: ribosomal RNA, 486 nt
Filed under: uncultured bacterium
Lineage: Bacteria
Description: bacterial SSU rRNA
Rfam family: Bacterial small subunit ribosomal RNA
Source: RNAcentral